This 355-nucleotide ribosomal RNA is filed under the name Bacillus sp. XS9. RNAcentral's name for it is "bacterial SSU rRNA". It matches the Rfam family "Bacterial small subunit ribosomal RNA", at positions 31 to 376 of the family's 1533-position model. The record is from RNAcentral. Lineage: Bacteria; Bacillati; Bacillota; Bacilli; Caryophanales; Bacillaceae.
GGAGCGCGGGGGGGGUGCUAUAAUGCAAGUCGAGCGAAUGGAUUAAGAGCUUGCUCUUAUGAAGUUAGCGGCGGACGGGUGAGUAACACGUGGGUAACCUGCCCAUAAGACUGGGAUAACUCCGGGAAACCGGGGCUAAUACCGGAUAACAUUUUGAACCGCAUGGUUCGAAAUUGAAAGGCGGCUUCGGCUGUCACUUAUGGAUGGACCCGCGUCGCAUUAGCUAGUUGGUGAGGUAACGGCUCACCAAGGCAACGAUGCGUAGCCGACCUGAGAGGGUGAUCGGCCACACUGGGACUGAGACACGGCCCAGACUCCUACGGGAGGCAGCAGUAGGGAAUCUUCCGCAAUGGAU